RNAcentral lists this ribosomal RNA (465 nucleotides) under uncultured bacterium. RNAcentral's name for it is "SSU rRNA". It matches the Rfam family "Bacterial small subunit ribosomal RNA", at positions 26 to 523 of the family's 1533-position model. The record is from RNAcentral.
AGAAUCAACGCUGGCGGCGCGCUUAACACAUGCAAGUCGAGCGAGAAAGGGGAGCAAUCCCUGAGUAAAGCGGCGUACGGGUGAGUAACACGUGGGUAAUCUACCUUUUAGUGUGGAAUAACCCUGGGAAACCGGGGCUAAUACCGCAUAAGCCUGAGAAGGGAAAGCAGCAAUGCGCUGAAAGAGGAGCCCGCGGCCGAUUAGCUAGUUGGUGGGGUAACGGCCCACCAAGGCGAUGAUCGGUAGCCGGCCUGAGAGGGCACACGGCCACACUGGCACUGAAACACGGGCCAGACUCCUACGGGAGGCAGCAGUGGGGAAUCUUGCACAAUGGAGGCAACUCUGAUGCAGCGACGCCGCGUGAGCGAUGAAGCCCCUCGGGGUGUAAAGCUCUUUCGGCAGGGACGAUAAUGACGGUACCUGAAGAAGAAGCUGCGGCUAACUACGCGCCAGCAGCCGCGGUAA